AGCGAACGCUGGCGGCAGGCCUAACACAUGCAAGUCGAACGGAUCCUUCGGGAUUAGUGGCGGACGGGUGAGUAACGCGUGGGAACGUGCCCUUUGGUACGGAACAACUGAGGGAAACUUCAGCUAAUACCGUAUGUGCCCUUCGGGGAAAGAUUUAUCGCCAUUGGAGCGGCCCGCGUUGGAUUAGGUAGUUGGUGGGGUAAAGGCCCACCAAGCCUACGAUCCAUAGCUGGUCUGAGAGGANGAUCAGCCACACUGGGACUGAGACACGGCCCAGACUCCUACGGGAGGCAGCAGUAGGGAACCUUGCGCAAUGGGCGAAAGCCUGACGCAGCCAUGCCGCGUGAAUGAUGAAGGUCUUAGGAUUGUAAAAUUC
RNAcentral lists this ribosomal RNA (376 nucleotides) under uncultured bacterium. RNAcentral describes it as "bacterial SSU rRNA". It matches the Rfam family "Bacterial small subunit ribosomal RNA", at positions 29 to 433 of the family's 1533-position model. The record is from RNAcentral.